Molecule: ribosomal RNA, 427 nt
Filed under: uncultured bacterium
Lineage: Bacteria
Description: bacterial SSU rRNA
Rfam family: Bacterial small subunit ribosomal RNA
Source: RNAcentral
GUAGGGAAUAUUGCGCAAUGGGGGAAACCCUGACGCAGCGACGCCGCGUGAGUGAUGAAGGCCUUCGGGUCGUAAAGCUCUGUCGCAUGGGAAAAAGAUCUGAUUGUACCAUGUAAGAAAGGAUCGGCUAACUUCGUGCCAGCAGCCGCGGUAAGACGAGGGAUCCUAGCGUUGUUCGGAAUCAUUGGGCGUAAAGCGGGUGUAGGUGGCCUAGUAAGUCAGGUGUGAAAGCCUGGGGCUUAACCCCAGAAGUGCACUUGAAACUGCUUGGCUUGAGUGUGGUAGAGGCUACUAGAAUUCCUGGUGUAGUGGUGAAAUACGUAGAUAUCAGGAGGAAUACCGGAGGCGAAGGCGGGUAGCUGGACCAACACUGACACUCAAACCCGAAAGCGUGGGGAUCAAACAGGAUUAGAUACCCCAGUAGUCC